Molecule: transfer RNA, 94 nt
Filed under: Thermofilum sp.
Lineage: Archaea; Thermoproteati; Thermoproteota; Thermoprotei; Thermofilales; Thermofilaceae
Description: tRNA-Glu
Rfam family: tRNA
About the family: Transfer RNA (tRNA) molecules are approximately 80 nucleotides in length. Their secondary structure includes four short double-helical elements and three loops (D, anti-codon, and T loops).
Source: RNAcentral
GCCCCGGUCGUCUAGCCCGGUCAGCCUGCGCGGCCGACAGGAUAUUGGCCUUUCGAGCCAAGGAUCCCGGGUUCAAAUCCCGGCCGGGGCACCA